This 253-nucleotide ribosomal RNA is filed under the name uncultured bacterium. RNAcentral's name for it is "partial 16S ribosomal RNA". It matches the Rfam family "Bacterial small subunit ribosomal RNA", at positions 524 to 776 of the family's 1533-position model. The record is from RNAcentral.
UACGAACUGUGCGAACGUUAUUCGGAAUUACUGGGCGUAAAGCGUGCGCAGGCGGUUCGUUGUGUCGGUGGUGAAAUCCCCGGGCUUAACCUGGGAAUGGCCAUGGAAACUGGCGAACUGGAGUGCGGCAGAGGGGGGUGGAAUUCCGCGUGUAGCAGUGAAAUGCGUAGAGAUGCGGAGGAACACCGAUGGCGAAGGCAGCCCCCUGGGCUAGCACUGACGCUCAGGCACGAAAGCGUGGGGAGCAAACAGG